RNAcentral lists this ribosomal RNA (254 nucleotides) under uncultured bacterium. Its description in RNAcentral is "partial 16S ribosomal RNA". It matches the Rfam family "Bacterial small subunit ribosomal RNA", at positions 524 to 776 of the family's 1533-position model. The record is from RNAcentral.
UACGUAGGGUGCGAGCGUUGUCCGGAAUUAUUGGGCGUAAAGAGCUCGUAGGCGGUUUGUCGCGUCUGCCGUGAAAGUCCGGGGCUCAACUCCGGAUCUGCGGUGGGUACGGGCAGACUAGAGUGAUGUAGGGGAGACUGGAAUUCCUGGUGUAGCGGUGAAAUGCGCAGAUAUCAGGAGGAACACCGGUGGCGAAGGCGGGUCUCUGGGCCAUUACUGACACUGAGAAGCGAAAGCAUGGGGGAGCGAACAGG